CUAAACAGCUGUGCUUGUAAGGUUAUUUGUAAACAUGGAGGGUAAUACGCGGUCAAUGUUUCUGUUGUUGGUUUCAUUUUUGUUACAAACUUUCGCAUUUAUGCAGCUGCUUUUGACAGAGAGACAACGUGAUAGACGACUACAAACAAAAAUACUUAAUUAUAGGAGAAAAAAUUUUGUCGCUUGCAUCCGAAGGCAGAGGCGAUACCUGCAGCUAAAAAAAAACAGUUAUGUUUACUCAUAUGGCUACACAGAAGUCUGUGCGACGGACAUGGGCCAUUCCGCGUAUACAUGGGAAAGUGUUUUGAACAAUUUUGAUGAAUAUAUGUGGACGGAACACUUUCGCAUGUUGAGAGAUACGUUUGAGUAUGUGCUGCAGCUUGUGAGACCCUCUUAUUUGCUACGAAAAACUACCGGCUGGCGAAAACCGCUGGAACCCCGACUGAGACUCGCAGUUGUGUUGUGGUGGUACGCUACCCCAAGUGAAUACAGGACCAUAUCCUGUUUAUUUGGCCUUGGAAUAUCAACAGUCUGCAUGCUUGUUCGUCAGGUAACAUAUGCUCUGAAGGCGACCCUUUGCAAGCGGUUUAUAUGCAUGCCUCAAGGCCAGCAUCUCCAAAAAACCAUUGAUGGUUUUGUUGCCCGUGGCUACAAGAUGUGUGCAGGUGCCAUUGAUGGAUGCCACAUACCAAUAAUAAAACUUCAUGAGGACCAGGCUUACUGCAACCGUAAAGGAUGGCACUCUAUUGUGUUGCAGGCCUUUGUGGAUCACAAUGUAUGGAUUUACACAAGCUCCAGUCUGGAUCCAGAACACCUGAGAAGCGAUGAUGCUGACCCUCAGAGGACCUCAGAUGAUGCUAACCCUGAAUCAACAAACAGAACUAAGAAUAAUUGCUAAAUCUUUACGGAUGUGUAUGUGGGUUGGCCUGGUCGAACUCAUGAUGCAAGAGUGCUAGCCAACUCUCCCAUAUACCAAAUGGCCAAGGCCCAGGAUGGGUAUUUGUUUCCUCGUGAGAAAUCUAUGGUGGUGAAUGGAGUGGAGGUUCCCAUCCAUCUUAUUGGAGAUGCGACAUACCCCCUUAAAAAAUGGCUAAUGAAAGGGUUCCCAAAUCACCAAAAUCUGACACUCAACCAGUCUCACUACAAUUUCUGCUUGAGUUCAGCUCGAAUGGUCGUAGAAAAUGCCUUCGGUCGCCUCAAAGGUCGCUGGAGAUGUUUACUGAAGCGCAAUGAUGUCGACAUAAAUAUCGUGUCUGAUAUAGUUGUAGCUUGUUACUGACCGAGAGAACAACAGAGUAACUUAUGACGUGCAAGCAGUUCGGAGGGCAUUGGCAACAUUGAUGAGUUAAAGGAAUAGUUAACCCAAAAACUAUUUACUCAACGUCAUGUAAUUGUAAACCUGCAUGAAGUUCUUCUUUCUACUUCUGUAGCAAGAAAAAUAUAUUAUGGAAGUCAAAGGUGCCCAACAGCUGUUUGGUUACCAACAUUAUUCAAAAUAGCUUACUUUGGUUCAGCAGAAGGAAGAACUUCAUGCAGGUUUACAAUUACAUGAGGGUGAGUAAAUGAUGAAUGAAAUAUAAAUAUGACUGUACAUUUUUCCAUUUGAUAACAACUUCCUUUUCAGGGGAAUUUCUUAAGGGGAC
Carassius gibelio (silver crucian carp) is the source of this 1643-nucleotide RNA transcript. RefSeq lists it as uncharacterized. The transcript has 5 exons. The record is from RefSeq and is a predicted model, not a curated record. Lineage: Eukaryota; Metazoa; Chordata; Actinopteri; Cypriniformes; Cyprinidae.